GGUGUAGGCGGAUUGAUAAGUCAGAAGUGGAAGCCCCGGGCUCAACCCGGGAAGUGCUUUUGAUACUGUCGAUCUUGAGUGUGGGAGAGGAUAGUAGAAUUCCUGGUGUAGUGGUGAAAUACGUAGAUAUCAGGAGGAACACCGGUGGGGAAGCCGGCUGUCUGGCCCAACACUGACGCUCAGACCCGAAAGCGUGGGGAGCAAACAGGAUUAGAUACCCUGGUAGUCC
RNAcentral lists this ribosomal RNA (229 nucleotides) under uncultured bacterium. RNAcentral describes it as "partial 16S ribosomal RNA". It matches the Rfam family "Bacterial small subunit ribosomal RNA", at positions 568 to 796 of the family's 1533-position model. The record is from RNAcentral.